GACAGAGGUGCCAAGCGUUAGGCGGAAUCACUGGGCUUAAAGCGUGUGUAGGCGGAAUUGUAAGUACCUUGUGAAAUCCCACGGCUCAACCGUGGAACUGCUCGGUAUACUGCUUUUCUUGAGCCACUUAGGGGCUGUCGGAACAAACGGUGGAGCGGUGAAAUGCGUAGAGAUCGGAAAGAACACCAACGGCGAAAGCACUCUGCUGGGCCGACACUGACACUGAGAGACGAAAGCUAGGGGAGCGAAUGGG
This 253-nucleotide ribosomal RNA is filed under the name uncultured bacterium. Its description in RNAcentral is "partial 16S ribosomal RNA". It matches the Rfam family "Bacterial small subunit ribosomal RNA", at positions 524 to 776 of the family's 1533-position model. The record is from RNAcentral.